Molecule: ribosomal RNA, 227 nt
Filed under: uncultured bacterium
Lineage: Bacteria
Description: partial 16S ribosomal RNA
Rfam family: Bacterial small subunit ribosomal RNA
Source: RNAcentral
UACGAAGGGGCUAGCGUUGCUCGGAAUUACUGGGCGUAAAGCGCACGUAGGCGGUCUUUUAAGUCGGGGGUGAAAUCCUGGAGCUCAACUCCAGAACUGCCUUCGAUACUGGAAGACUCGAGUCCGGGAGAGGUGAGUGGAACUGCGAGUGUAGAGGUGAAAUUCGUAGAUAUUCGCAAGAACACCAGUGGCGAAGGCGGCUCACUGGCCCGGUACUGACGCUGAGG